UGUGUAGGCGGAUCGUUAAGUGUCUUGUGAAAUCCCCCGGCUCAACCGGGGAAUUGCUGGGCAUACUGGCGAUCUUGAGCGGCCUAGGGGCAGAUGGAACAAGUGGUGGAGCGGUGAAAUGCGUAGAUAUCACUUGGAACGCCAAAGGUGAAGACAGUCUGCUGGGGGCCUGCUGACGCUGAGACACGAAAGCCAGGGGAGCGAACGGGAUUAGAUACCCCGGUAGUCCUGGCCCUAAACGAUGUCAACUAGAUCGUGGGACCUCUGACGGUUUCGCGGUCGAAGCAAAAGUGCUAAGUUGACCGCCUGGGAAGUACGGUCGCAAGGCUAAA
Molecule: ribosomal RNA, 332 nt
Filed under: uncultured bacterium
Lineage: Bacteria
Description: bacterial SSU rRNA
Rfam family: Bacterial small subunit ribosomal RNA
Source: RNAcentral